UGCCACGUUUGAAUAAAUUCCUUUUAUAUUGUUUUUUAUUAUUUUUAUCUUACAAGUUUCAUUGCAAAUUGUUUAAAAUAAAAAAAUAUAUUUUCAUUUUAAACAAAAUGAAAACGUUUUAUAUUUAUUUUAAACAAAAUUUGAAAUGAAACUUACAAAAAAAGUUGUUUUGGGGUAAUAAAACACAGAUUUUGUUAACAUUUUUAUUGUACACUUGAGUAACAUAACAAAUUAAAUUUUUCAAAAAAUUAAAGUAUUGUAUUAUUUCUUAAUUAUACAAAAAUUAUAAAAAAAUUAAAUCAGUCAGUGUUGGCAUGUUUUGCCUGUCUGCUCGAGACUUAAAACAAAAUAAGGUCUGCUUUGCAAUGACUUUUACCUUGUCUGUCAGCAAACAGUUGCCCACGCUACGACCACGAGGAGGUACAUGCAGUGCACUGACACACUCGAGCGCAAAUAAGAAACUUAAAAGAUCCUCAAUUUUGCAGGCAUUCCUCCACAAUUCUUGAAGCUUUGGAUUCUUAGGGAAGGUGAAGAAAUGCUUAUUGGACUGUCCUUUGUUGGGAACAUAAUCACUGGUGCAUCCGGGGUAUUUGCAGGAAUAUUUGCGAUAACCAGCCAUGACUAAAGUUCAGUUGAGUAGUAGAAAUCAAAAAUCCGUCACUCCAGACCAAUGCCUUUAAAAUAGAAAGAAACACCAAUCAAAAAGAUGAGGUUAUAUUAAUAAAAUAAGAGAUACUUAUCUUUUUGGUCGGCGCUCAACACCAGGAAUUGACUCACUAACGAACUGUAAUCAGAAUUUUUGCUUUGAUUAAACGAUUAAACAAAUAA
Molecule: long non-coding RNA, 828 nt
Organism: Tribolium castaneum (red flour beetle)
Lineage: Eukaryota; Metazoa; Arthropoda; Insecta; Coleoptera; Tenebrionidae
Exons: 2
Source: RefSeq, a predicted model, not a curated record